RNAcentral lists this long non-coding RNA (1951 nucleotides) under Anas platyrhynchos platyrhynchos (common mallard). Its description in RNAcentral is "lncRNA (ENSAPLG00000018158.1)". Lineage: Eukaryota; Metazoa; Chordata; Aves; Anseriformes; Anatidae. The record is from RNAcentral.
AUUUCAUAAUCAGAAUCUGAAAUGGAGACAACCUUAAUCACUAUUUCAAGUGAGAAUAUACAGAUACUGUUCUCCUUAUUGCAAAAGAAUGUUAGGAAGAUUUUUGAUAUAAAAUUAAGCAAGAUGUUAAGCAAUAUGGACUUUUAAAACUAUUUUUCAUGCUAAGGAGAUCAUUGUUUUUUUCUGACUUAUAACUGUUAUUGAUUUUAUUUUAGCAUAUCUCAUCUAAUUUGACAUGCAAAUUUUCAAAAAGAAAUAUGAGGAAAUAUGAGUUUGUGUGUUAAUUGACAAAGUAGAUACGGGGUAUUUUAAUAUUCAAAUGAAUUUUGCCCUAGUAUCUUUUGAUGGAUUUGCCCUAGCAUCCUAGCAUCUAUGCUUUAAGAAGAAAAUUAAUAAACAAAUGCAAAAGAGUACUAUCAGCCUCUUCUCAAAAAAGAGAGGUAUUGAAGUAAUGUAGAAAUGCUUCAUUCUUAAACAACACAGUCAGGUGAGCUCAGCCCAAGGACUUGGACUAUGAACACCACAUUUGGUGUGUGACUUCAUGAUUUAAUGUCACUCUGUUAGCCCUUGUCGGCACAACUGAAAAAACUGAAAAUUCAGGCGGCUUCAGUCCCAGUACCAUCUAAGUUGGCCUCCAACUUGGUGUUCUUCUAGAUUGCAAAACAAAAAUCAUACAAAAUUAACAGACUUCCAGUCAAACUUAGUUAAACACAUGCUUUUCUAACUACCUUUUAUUGCCUUCCUUUUCUAGGUCUGUAGGGAUUUUACACUGCAUAUCUGGAAAAACAAGUCACCGUUUAAACACUAAGUCUACAGCAUGAAUGAUGCUAACACGGGGAGUAACUUCACUCCUGGAGUAAUCCCGCUGUGACACAGAAGUAAAGUUAAAGCUCAGGUCUGGAGAGCAACGUUUUCUGUCGAUAGCAGUUUCUGUCUGGUGUGAUGCCCCAUUCUUGUGCUGAUGCUACUUGUAGCACUGAGCAGUACUGGAAAGGAGAAAAGGUCUCUUGGAAUAAGAACAAAUUGGAGCUGGGAAGACAAAAGAAAAUACAUAUGAAGAACUUAGAACUGAGAACCCUGGGGAAGAGGCUCUUGCUUGGAGAGGACCCUUUGGUGGAAUACCUUGAAGAAGGGCUAUAGGUCAGUUGUAGAAGUAUGACAAUGGAGGGAACAGUUAUGAACUUAGAGUGUUUUGUUGGGUCCAUGUUUCACUUCACCUUGACUUGUCAUUUUUUGGUGGCUUCCUCUGUGUUUGUAUCUACUGAACAGAGCUUUUAAUGCAUCCAAGUGUUAUACUGGGCUGUAAUGUUCUAUAAGCUUUUGUUAGUCUAACAGUUGUUUUCCAAAGUAUUCUUAGGAUGCUGUGAAUAGUACCUAUGACUGAAAGUAUACUCCGUAGUCCCUGUGCUUGUGUUGUCAGAAAUAGCAUAUCUUACCAUUCUAUACCCAAAGUUCUUUCCUAAUAGAAUGGUUAUAAUGAGCACUAUUUUGAGUAAUGUUUUCAUAUUGUUUGUUCACAUCAUUUCUGGUCAAAGUGCAGUGCAAUUAAAGAUACUGCCUAAAGGCAUUGCUUCCAGUUUACUAUCUUUUCACUGGUAAAAGACAUAUUGAGGUGAGAGUUUGUUACUUAAACACAGGACUGGUAAAUAUGACACACAACCUGCAUUAGACCCAUGACCAUCUGGAGCAGCAGCUGAGCCCUUGGCAGGAUACCCUGGGGUAUGCAAAAUGCACUAGUAGCUUGUGCUUAGCAGUUCUAUCCUAUAUAUUGGAUUUUCGUUGCAAGGAACCAUAAAACCUAAACUGAUUUAGUUAGGAUUGUGACAGACUGUAAUCCUAGAUUCAGAGGUGACCUAGACAGUAAAAACUGUCUUUUGUAAGUGGGAGUACCUGAAAACUGCAAAGAAAGACACAUAGAAAUAAAGCAAGUAAGGCAACUGCUAUGAAGACA